GACGUAGGAGGCGAGCGUUGUCCGGAUUCAUUGGGCGUAAAGAGCACGCAGGCGGUUUGGCAAGUCGGAUGUGAAAGCCCGGAGCUCAACUCCGGACCUGCAUCCGAAACUGCCCGACUAGAGGUAGGUAGGGGAGAUCGGAAUUCCUGGUGUAGCGGUGAAAUGCGCAGAUAUCGGGAGGAACACCGGUGGCGAAGGCGGUUCUCUGGGCCUUACCUGACGCUGAGGAGCGAAAGCGUGGGGAGCGAACAGG
Molecule: ribosomal RNA, 253 nt
Filed under: uncultured bacterium
Lineage: Bacteria
Description: partial 16S ribosomal RNA
Rfam family: Bacterial small subunit ribosomal RNA
Source: RNAcentral